GCUGUCUAAAAGUAGAUGUGUCAGGAACAGAAAACAGGAGGCAACCAUCAGCAGUGCGUAUGUCACAGAGCGGCAUAGUUUCGAGUCAUCGACACGCCGAUUAAAGGACGCCAAAAACGUCGUGAUCUCACGGUGCGGCAUAUAGUUUUGAGAUAGCAAUACGCAGAUUAACGGGUGUCAAAAACGUCGUGGUCUCAUGGUGCGGCAUAUAGUUUCGAGAUAGCGACACACAGAUUAAUGGGCAUCAAAAACGUCGUGGUCUCACCGUGCGGCAUAUAGUUUCGAGAUAGCGACACGCCGAUUAACGGGCGUCAAAAACGUCGUGGUCUCACGGUGCGGCAUAUAGUUUCGAGAUAGCGACACGCCGAUUAACGGGCGUCAAAAACGUCGUGGUCUCACGGUGCGGCAUAUAGUUUUGAGAUAGUGACACGCCGAUUAACGGGUGUCAAAAACGUCGUGGUCUCAUCGUGCGGCAUAUAGUUUCGAGAUAGUGACACAUAGAUUAACGGGUGUCAAAAAUGUCGUGGUCUCACCGUGUGGCAUAUAAUUUCGAGAUAGCGACACACAGAUUAACGGGUGUCAAAAACCUCGUGGUCUCACAGUGCGGCAUAUAGUUUCGAGAUAGCGACACGCAGAUUAACGGGCGUCAAAAAUGUUGUGGUCUCACGGUGCGGCAUAUAGU
Molecule: long non-coding RNA, 682 nt
Organism: Dermacentor silvarum
Lineage: Eukaryota; Metazoa; Arthropoda; Arachnida; Ixodida; Ixodidae
Exons: 3
Source: RefSeq, a predicted model, not a curated record